AGUACCGUGAGGGAAAGGUGAAAUAGGACUUUUUAUAGCGUUAAAAGAUCCUAAAAUUUUGUGUUUUAUAUUAUCUGUUAAAGUAUUUGCAAUAGCGUACCUUUUGCAUAAUGGGCCAGUGAGUUUAUUAAUAUAGCAAGUUUCAAUUUUUUGUAGACAAAGGUAAUUCAAACAAUAUUUAUAUUUUGUUUUAAAAAGCUUAAAAGUUUUAUUAAUAAAACCCGAAGCUAAGUGAUCUAAUCAUGAGCAAGUUGAAAAUUUGGUGGUAACAUUGAUUGAAGGACUGCACCCGUUUCUGUAGAAAAAGACUGGGAUGACUUGUGAUUAGGGGUGAAAGGCUAAUCAAACUUAGGGAUAGCUGGUUUUCUGCGAAAUAUAUUUAAGUAUAGCCUGCAAUUUAUUUAAUUUGUGGUAAAGCACUUUUACGGUAAGGGGGGUUUCGAACUUUACUAAAUUGUAAAAAACUAAGAAUGCAUUUUAUUUUGUUGUGGAGUCAGACUAUUGGUGCAAAGGUCUAUAGUCAAGAGGGAAACAGCCCUUUUUAUUUAUUAAGGUCUUUAAUAUAAAUUCUGUGAUAAGAAUAUAAUUAAACGUUGACAGUCAUAAAAUAGGCUUGGAAGCAGCCAUUUUUUUAAGAAAGCGUAACAGCUCAUUGAUCUAGUUUUUUUGUAUCGAAAAUUUAUCGAGACUAUUAUUUAUAACCGAAAUUGUAA
RNAcentral lists this ribosomal RNA (713 nucleotides) under Paraphysomonas vestita. Its description in RNAcentral is "partial Bacterial large subunit ribosomal RNA". It matches the Rfam family "Bacterial large subunit ribosomal RNA", at positions 497 to 1205 of the family's 2925-position model. The record is from RNAcentral. Lineage: Eukaryota; Chrysophyceae; Chromulinales; Paraphysomonadaceae.